UGCGGCUGGAUCCCCUCCUUUCUAAGGUUUCGAAAAUCAGACAAGACGUUCGCGUCUUUCUUUUUCGAGCUUAGACAUAAGCGGCGUCGCCGCCUUCGCCUCCCUUUCUCAAGCGAGUUUUGUGGAAGCCGGGCACCAAGCCUCGGGCCAAUCGUGCCUGAGACUGGAUUCCGGCUCACGGCUUCCAAGCGGGCUUGUAGCUCAGCUGGUUAGAGCGCGCGCUUGAUAAGCGUGAGGUCGGAAGUUCAAAUCUUCCCAGGCCCACCAUCCCUCGCGCCAUAAGCGCGAGAGCGGUCCGUUGCCGUUUCUUGGGGGCCGUAGCUCAGUUGGGAGAGCGCUAGCUUUGCAAGCUUGAGGUCGUCGGUUCGAUCCCGUCCGGCUCCACCACCUUCAGACUUCAGACAUCGGAAACUGGAUACCGGUUAUCGAUCUCUGAGUUCUGAAAUCGGAACUCGUUCUUUGACAUUGUGAAGAAGGGAUUUGUUGUGAGCUUUCGCCGUUCGGACUUCUGUUCGGGCCGCGUGAGCGAAGCGACAAAUCCGUAGUCUUGAAAGUCUGACUUCAAACAAUCGUUGAUCGACUUGAUCGUGAGCUACGGCUGUCGAGCCGUGGAAUUCUGGUCAUGGGCGAUGACGAGAGGGAUCAAGUGCCUUAAGGGCACUCGACGGAUGCCUUGGUGCUGAGAGGCGAUGAAGGACGUGGCACGCUGCGAUAAGCCGUGGGGAGCUGUGAGCAAGCUUUGAUCCAUGGAUUUCCGAAUGGGGAAACCCGG
This 772-nucleotide unclassified non-coding RNA is filed under the name uncultured bacterium. RNAcentral describes it as "partial contains 16S ribosomal RNA, 16S-23S ribosomal RNA intergenic spacer, and 23S ribosomal RNA". The stretch from base 641 to 772 matches the Rfam family "Bacterial large subunit ribosomal RNA", at positions 1 to 131 of the family's 2925-position model. The record is from RNAcentral.